This 405-nucleotide ribosomal RNA is filed under the name uncultured bacterium. RNAcentral describes it as "bacterial SSU rRNA". It matches the Rfam family "Bacterial small subunit ribosomal RNA", at positions 97 to 520 of the family's 1533-position model. The record is from RNAcentral.
GGCAGACGGGUGAGUAACACGUAGCUGACCUGCCGUGUGCUGGGGGAUAACACCGGGAAACCGGUGCUAAGACCGCGUAAGCUCGCUGGGGUUAGAGUCCUGGUGAGGAAAACGAAAGUGGCACACGAGGGGGCUGCGGGCCAUCAGGUGGUUGGUGGGGUAAUGGCCUACCAAGCCUGCGACGGCUAUGGGACCUGAGAGGGUGACCCCCCACACUGGAACUGAGACACGGUCCAGACUCCUACGGGAGGCAGCAGUAAGGGAUAUUGCACAAUGGGCGCAAGCCUGAUGCAGCAACGCCGCGUGCAGGAAGAAGGGCUUCGGCUCGUAAACUGCUUUUCUGGAGGACGAUAGUGACGGUACCUCCAGAAGAAGCCCCGGCUAACUACGUGCCAGCCGCCGCGG